This 477-nucleotide ribosomal RNA is filed under the name uncultured bacterium. RNAcentral describes it as "partial 16S ribosomal RNA". It matches the Rfam family "Bacterial small subunit ribosomal RNA", at positions 28 to 507 of the family's 1533-position model. The record is from RNAcentral.
GAUGAACGCUGGCGGCGUGCCUAAUACAUGCAAGUCGAGCGAACAGACGAGUAGCUUGCUCCUCUGACGUUAGCGGCGGACGGGUGAGUAACACGUGGAUAACCUACCUAUAAGACUGGGAUAACUUCGGGAAACCGAAGCUAAUACCGGAUCAUAUAUUGAACCGCAUGGUUCAAUAGUGAAAGACGGUUUUGCUGUCGGUUAUAGAUGGAUCCGCGGCGCAUUAGCUAGUGGGUAGGGUAACGGCUUACGAUGGCUACGAUGGGUAGCCGACCUGAGAGGGGGGACGGGGUCAUGGGGACUGAGAGAGGGAGCAGAAGCGUAUGGGAGGCAGUAGGGGGGAAUAUUGCAGAAUGGGCGGAAGCCUGAGGCAGAAACGUCGCGUGCGGAAUGACGGCCUUUGGGUUGUAAACAGAUUUCUAAGGAGCUGAAGACUGCGUGACGGUAACUAGUAAAAAAGCCACGGCUAAAUACGUG